Long non-coding RNA from Ruditapes philippinarum (Manila clam), 3511 nucleotides. RefSeq lists it as uncharacterized. The transcript has 2 exons. NCBI's taxonomy places the organism in Eukaryota, Metazoa, Mollusca, Bivalvia, Venerida, Veneridae. The record is from RefSeq and is a predicted model, not a curated record.
AUUGACCUUGAAAGUCAAGGCCAUUUAUAUAUGAAGGUCAAGUUUAGUCGUUAUGAUCAAGGUUAACGUUUUUGGAUGGCAACGGCAAUGGGAACGCCGCCAUGACUGUAAUAAUACCUCCAUUUUUCACAUAGUAAAAUCUCAAUAUAAGAAUUUAAGGUAUGUUUUGGCCUUUUAAUCGUAAAGUAAAUUUAGGGGUCUACACGCUGUAUUAUUAUUUUUCCCGCAAAAUGUCAAGGCCGUCGUAAAGUACCUCCAAAUAAAAGAGUACUUGACCUUUGUUUACAAACAGCGAGUGAGAGGUGAAUGGUUACCAUAUAUAAGGUGCAUGUCACAGUAGUUUAGGACAGAAUUUUAAAAAGAUAACAGUUUAAGUGUAUGAGAUACUAUUCCUAGUGUAGUUGGUGUAUUGGUAUAUAUUAUAUAUAUACCUGGAUUAUAGGAAGUUGACUUGUAUUAUAAUGGAGGGGAAAAUAAAUACAGGUAAGUUAUGAUGCUGAUAUUUCUUUAAUAUAUUCGAAUAUUGUACAGAAACAAUUUUCUACAAAUUUUUAUUCUGUAAUUUUUGUAAGAUUUUUUUUAUAUAAUUAUUCCUACAUCAGAUUUAUGCAUGUUACUUGGCAUUCAUAGUUCAAACAGGUAACUAAGCUGUUUAUAUGUAACACCCAUUAUAUAGAGGAUAUUUGUUUGUUUCAGUGUAAGAUCGAAAAAUAUUUCACCGAGUGAACACCAGAUGCAAUAUUUUCCACGAGUGGCGUAGCCACGAGUGAAAAUAUAAUAGCUGGGGUUCACGAGUGAAAUAUUAUUUGAUCUUACAUGUAAAACAAACAAAUUUUCUGUUUAUUUCAUGAUUUUUUAACGAUUUUUACACCAUUUUACUGAUUUUUGCCGCGUAACGUCAUGCUCUUAUCUUCAUGACGUCAUCAAAUAAUGACGUCACAAUGUUGAAGCAAAAUAUAAUUCCAUGAUUAUUUUUAGAUUUUAGAUGUUUUUCAGCACAACGUUCGUAAAUAUUUACGAACUACAGUUAUCACGUACAUUUGUUAUUAUGAUUGACUACAUUUCCGCUGAAAAAAAACAUUCAUUAAUGAUAAAUAUUUUAUUUUUACGCCAAAUAUAGUUCGGCUACUGUGAAAUUAUAUUUGGUAAUCAUUACUGUGAAAUUAUCAGAAUAUAAUUAACCGUUAUAAUUCAGUAAUCUACUGCAAAACAUGUAAUAAAAAGAGUUAUAAGUCAGUUAAAGACUUUGAACUGUUAAGUUCAGCAUUAAGAUAUUUUUCUGAUGCAUAAUACCACUUUUUAUGUUCAUGUUGGAUUUUUCCUUAUCAUUUAAGUAUACUCAACCGUUUGAAAUAAAUGCUGUUUUACUUUAAAGAAAGCAGAAUAAGUUUGUAUUUAACCUACCUAGUUCAUGGACACAUUACUACAUUUUAUACAUAAACAUGCAUUAUAUUAGAUUUUUACAAUGGUCUAUGACAUUUUAUCUGUCAGUGUGUGUACAUGUAAUUGUUGAAAACUACACAUGUUCAAUCAGAUAAAAGUUUGAGAUAAGCAUUUUGAAAUUUAAGACUAUAGUUCACUCUGGUAUAACUAACAAUUUUAGUUUUAUAGCAUUAUUUAUGUAAACUUUAUUGUGAAGAUAGCUUUUAACUUAUAUGAACCACUUGUGAGUCCAUUUCUCAGUACUUACAUGUACCAGUGGAAACAUGGUUGUGACUCCAGCAAGGCACAAACCCACAAUCCCUGGGUUGAGAGGCAGAUUCCAUUGGGCCAUCACUCCCUUUUAACAGAUUUGACCAUAUAAAAUGAUGAACAUGAUGAAAAUCAUUUGUCUAUAGCACCUUUUAUAUUUAUGCCCCCAUUUCGAAGAAAAGGGGGUAUAUUGCUUUGCACUUGUCGGUCCGUCGGUCCGUAGACCAAAUGGUUUCCGAGUGAUAACUAAAGAACCCUUAGGCCUAGGAACUUCAAACUUGGUAUGGUGAUUGGUCAUGACAAGUAGAUGACCCCUAUUGAUUUUGGGGUCAAGGGGUCAAAGGUCAAGGUCACAUUGACCUUGUAAGCAAAAACGGUUUCCGAUCAAUAACUAAAGAACCUUUAGGCCUAGGAACUUCAAACUUGGUAUGGUGAUUUGUCAUGAUCAGUAGAUGACCCCUAUUGAUUUUGGGGUCAAAGGUCAAGGUCACAUUGACCUUGUAAGCAAAAACGGUUUCCGAUCAAUAAGUAAAGAACCUUAAGGCCUAGGAACUUCAAACUUGGUAUGGUUAUGGUCAUGAUCAGUAGAUGACCCCUAUUGAUUUUGGGGUCAAGGGGUCAAAGGUCAAGGUCACAUUGACCUCUUGGGUAAAAACGGUUUCCGAUCAAUAACAAAAAAACCCUUAGGCCUAGGAACUUCAAACUUGGUAUGGUGAUUGGUUAUGACCAGCAGAUGACCCCUAUUGAUUUUGGGGUUAAGUGGUCAAAGGUCAAGGUCACAUUGACCUUGUAAUUAAAAACGGUUUCCUAUCAAUAACGAAAGAACCCUUAGGCCUAGGGAAUCAAACUUGAUAUGGUGAUUGGUCAUGAUCAGUAGAUGACCCCUAUUGAUUUUGGGGUUAAGGGGUCAAAGGUCAAGGUCACAUUGACCUUGUAGGUAAAAACGGUUUCCGAUCAAUAACGAAAGAACCCUUAGGCCUAGGAACUUCAAACUUGGUAUGGUGAUUGGUCAUGAUCAGUAGAUGACCCCUAUUGAUUUUGGGGUCAAGGGGUCAAAGGUCAAGGUCACAUUGACCUCUUGGGUAAAAGCAGUUUCCGAUCAAUAACUAAAGAACCCUUAGGCCUAGGAACUUCAAACUUGGUAUGGUGAUUGGUCAUGACAAGCAGAUGACCCCUACUGAUUUUGGGGUUAAGGGGUCAAAGGGCAAGGUCACAUUGACCUUGUAGGUAAAAAUGCUUUCCGAUCAAUAACUUAAGAACCCUUAGGCCUAGGAACUUCAAACUUGGUAUGGUGAUUGGUCAUGACCAGCAGAUGACCUUUUGUUUUUAGGGUCAAGGGGUCAAAGGUCAAGGUCACAUCGACCUUGUAAGUAAAAACGGUUUCUGAUCAAUAACUUAAGAACGCUUAGGCCUAGGAACUUCAAACUUGGUAUGGUGAUUUUUCAUGACCAGCAGAUUACCCCUUUCGAUUUUGGGAUCAAGGGGUCAAAGGUCAAGGUCACAUUGACCUUGUAAGUAAAAACGGUUUCUGAUCAAUAACUAAAGAACGCUUCGGCCUAGGAACUUCAAACUUGGCAUAGUGAUUGGUCAUGAUCAGUAGAUGACCCCUAUUGAUUUUGGGGUCAAAGGUCAAGGUCACAUUGACCUUGUAUGUUAAAAUGGUUUCGGAUCAAUAAUAAAAGAACCCUUAGGCCUAGGAACUUCAAACUUGGCAUGGUGAUUAGUCAUGACCAGCAAAUGACCCCUAUUGAUUUUGGGGUCAAGGGGUCAAAGGUCAAGGUCACAUUGACCUUGUAAGUAAAAACGGUUUCUGAUCAAU